ACAAAAGACAACCAACAAAAAGCAACUGCACAGCAACCAUUCAUGGCUACCUCUCUCUUCUCUCUCCUCCUCCUCUCUUUCCUCUUCUUCCUCCUCCUCCACCCUGUCCCCUCCACAGCUAACAUUCACAAGGCCAACAACCUCCUCAAAUCAAAUCUCCUUGCUGAACCCUCCUCUACUCUUGCUCCCAAACCCCUCAAUGACACACCACUAACUGUUUACUUUGAAGUAACUAAACCCAUCAAUGUCCCCAAGGUUAAACCUUGUGCAUACACCGUUCUCCAACAUGAUUUUGGCUAUACCUAUGGCAAACCUCCCGUUCUUGCAAACUAUACCCGUCCCUCGCAUUGCCCAUCUGAUCACUUCUCCAAGAUUG
This 376-nucleotide unclassified non-coding RNA is filed under the name Hevea brasiliensis (rubber tree). Lineage: Eukaryota; Viridiplantae; Streptophyta; Magnoliopsida; Malpighiales; Euphorbiaceae. The record is from RNAcentral.